RNAcentral lists this ribosomal RNA (433 nucleotides) under uncultured bacterium. Its description in RNAcentral is "partial 16S ribosomal RNA". It matches the Rfam family "Bacterial small subunit ribosomal RNA", at positions 29 to 507 of the family's 1533-position model. The record is from RNAcentral.
AACGAACGCUGGCUGCAGGCCUAACACAUGCAAGUCGGGCGGACCCUUCGGGUUUAUCUGUGGGCGGGGGUGUAACGCGGGGGAACUUGCCCUUUUCUUCGGAAUCGCCUGGGGAAACGUGGAGUAAUACCGUGUACGCCCCUUGGGGCAAAGAUUGAUCGGCGAAGGUUCGGCCCUCGUUGGAUUAUGUUGUUGGUGGGGUAAUGGCCUCCCAUGCAGACGAUUCAUAGCUGGUUUGAGAGGAUGAUCAGCCACACUGGGACUGAGACACGGCCCAGACUCCUACGGGAAGCAGAGGUGGGGAGUCUUAGCCAAUGGGGGACGCCCUGAUCUAGCCAUGCCGCGUGAGCGAUGAAGGCCUUAGGGUUGUAAAGCUCUUUCGGCGGGGACGAUAAUGACGGUACCCGGAGAAGAAGCCGCGGCUAACUCCGUG